UCUCCUUUGUCUUGUGAAGAAUUUUUGUUGAAGAGAGAAUCUUAUCUGUGCUGGUUUUGAGUCAUGACAGAUGCUUUUCUCAUUUAAGGCUAUAAGUGGAUGGUCGUGAGGGGCAAAUUGAAAAGAUUCUCACAGCUUGUCUUCAAUAAUUUCAUUGUAUAUCUUGAUUAUUGUUGUCAUUUGUCAUGCGUGACCUUGUCCACCUUUAUACUCUCUCGAGGUUAGAAGAUGUCAGCGCCGAAAUCGGGUGGUGAUCCAGCGCCACAUCCGUCGAAAGAACAGCUUCCGGAUAUCUCUUACUGCAUCACAAGUCCUCCUCCAUGGCGUUAGUUUUCUCUUCUUUGCCUCUAUACCUAAAACGUUUGACUUCUAGUUAUUGUUCUUAGCAUAUAUCUACCUUUGGAGCCUUGUUGUGACUUCUAUGUUUCAUAUUUCUGAAUUAUGUAAAAUAUUUUUGUUUUCUUUUCAUGUAAUAUAAAUAAUUAAAAUAAUUUUUUCUUGUUUUGAUUA
Molecule: long non-coding RNA, 510 nt
Organism: Camelina sativa (false flax)
Lineage: Eukaryota; Viridiplantae; Streptophyta; Magnoliopsida; Brassicales; Brassicaceae
Source: RefSeq, a predicted model, not a curated record